Long non-coding RNA from Homo sapiens (human), 1435 nucleotides. Ensembl annotates it as cancer susceptibility 15. Its record names the gene CASC15. NCBI's taxonomy places the organism in Eukaryota, Metazoa, Chordata, Mammalia, Primates, Hominidae. The record is from Ensembl.
GGAGAACAUUUACAGAGGACUGUGGGUAAAGCAAAGUCUUCAAGGGAAGAUAACAAAGGAUGAAACAAUGGUGUUGUGUGACUUCCUAUGAUGUUUACUCUUCUGCAUGUGUGUGAGUCAUGGCUGGUUUAAGGCCAGCACAAGAAUGGAUCAUGCAGGGGAGGUGGAAGCUCUCAGGAGAAAUCUACAAGACCACAGGUUGGAGACAGAGCUCAGAGACAGAAAAGCAUUUUUCCUUUAGAACAUAGAAGUACCAUUCACAAGAGUACUGUGCUCCUGGCGGUAUUUUCCAACAGAGAAGGGAAAGUCCUGUCUUCAGUUCGUUUUUAAACUUAAGCUGCUAGAGGACCUCAGGUGUGAAUCAUGGCAAUACAGUGAAAGACAGUGAUUUACUGCUUUUGAGGGCGUGCAUGUAUAUGAUUAACGGAUGGAAGUGCAGGACUCCAAGAUUUACUUCCUUCCCUUUCCAGCAGAAUUACCUGAGACGAAGAACUUUUGUUCACAUCUUAUACAAAACAGGUUCAAAUGAACAAAUCGAAUUGUCUGUUAUCCUAAGAAAUGCUAAAUUGUCCAGAAUAGACCUGCAUUAACAAAGUGUAAAGUGAAACAAGAGACCAGUUGGCAGAGAGAGAAAAGAGAGAGAUUUCGACUAAAGCCUAGAAGAAUAGGUAAUGAAUGACUACUCAGAAAGAAGGUAAAAUCUACUGGUGGAGUCACUCCAUUAUUCUUAUCUGUGGAGAUCUAGAUCUUGAUUUGAAAGUUUCUGAGAAAAUCUUCAGCUCAGACUUGAGGGUCAACUUUACCAGCUGAAGUGACUACAUCCUGCCUGCUUUCAGCUCCAGUGGAAAAUGCAUUAAUCCCAGAGUCUCCGUGAGGUUUCCUGUUUGAUGACAUAAUCAGAAAAUCCUCCUCACAUUGCCCUUGGGGUUGCUGUCUGGAUGUUAUGUUGUCUUGGAUCUGCAUUUACUGCUCAACCACAUCUAAUUUGAUGUCCUCUGCAGAUUUAAAAUGUGUGCCUUCUUUUCCGUCACCAAGUCAUCCCUGGGUUACUACUGAACAUCCUUCUCAAUUCCCCCCGACCCAUGGAUGGCUGUUCUCCAUUGUCUGUUUCACCAGAUGUCCUCAAAACAAACAGACAGAAGAAGGAAGUGGCUAAUGUUCUGGAGACCAGAAGGCCAAAAUCAAAAGUAUGGGCAGGCUUGAUUUCUUUAGAAGACUCCAGCGGAGAACUGUGUCUCCUUGCUUCUGAUUCUACAUCUCCAUCCAUGGGCCACUGUUUCAGCAACCUCAGCCAGUGCAACACAACCUCAGCCAAGAAGAGUAUGCAGAGAAAGGAGUCCCCUACCUGCCACAAAACUGUUGUCUGAAAACUGUCUCAUAUUGUCUCAAGUUGUCAUUCAUUGUGAAUUAGACCUGUUUAACAUGUAAUCUGCAA